This 457-nucleotide ribosomal RNA is filed under the name uncultured Limnohabitans sp. Its description in RNAcentral is "bacterial SSU rRNA". It matches the Rfam family "Bacterial small subunit ribosomal RNA", at positions 342 to 791 of the family's 1533-position model. The record is from RNAcentral. Lineage: Bacteria; Pseudomonadati; Pseudomonadota; Betaproteobacteria; Burkholderiales; Comamonadaceae.
CGGGGGGCAGCAGUGGGGAAUUUUGGACAAUGGGCGAAAGCCUGAUCCAGCCAUUCCGCGUGCAGGAUGAAGGCCCUCGGGUUGUAAACUGCUUUUGUACAGAACGAAAAGGUCUCUAUUAAUACUGGGGGCUCAUGACGGUACUGUAAGAAUAAGCACCGGCUAACUACGUGCCAGCAGCCGCGGUAAUACGUAGGGUGCAAGCGUUAAUCGGAAUUACUGGGCGUAAAGCGUGCGCAGGCGGUUAUAUAAGUCAGAUGUGAAAUCCCCGGGCUCAACCUGGGAACUGCAUUUGAGACUGUAUAGCUAGAGUACGGUAGAGGGGGAUGGAAUUCCGCGUGUAGCAGUGAAAUGCGUAGAUAUGCGGAGGAACACCGAUGGCGAAGGCAAUCCCCUGGACCUGUACUGACGCUCAUGCACGAAAGCGUGGGGAGCAAACAGGAUUAGAUACCCGAGU